Molecule: non-coding RNA, 101 nt
Filed under: uncultured Acidaminococcus sp.
Lineage: Bacteria; Bacillati; Bacillota; Negativicutes; Acidaminococcales; Acidaminococcaceae
Description: SAM riboswitch (S box leader)
Rfam family: SAM riboswitch aptamer (S box leader)
About the family: The SAM riboswitch is found upstream of a number of genes which code for proteins involved in methionine or cysteine biosynthesis in Gram-positive bacteria.
Source: RNAcentral
UUCAUCGAGAGCAGCUGAGGGAUUUGGCCCUAUGACGCUGCGGCAACCCCCUUUCUGGGAAGGUGCCAAUUCCAACGGGAACCUGGUUCCUGGCAGAUGAA